GUAAGAGUGGAAAAGAGGAAAGGGUGAGGUAAUGAGAGAGGGCUAGAGUAUGAGUGGAAAAGAGGAAAGGGUGAGGUAAUGAGAGAGGGCUAGAGUAAGAGUGGAAAAGAGGAAAGGGUGAGGUAAUGAGAGAGGGCUAGAGUAAGAGUGGAAAAGAGGAAAGGGUGAGGUAAUGAGAGAGGGCUAGAGUAAGAGUGGAAAAGAGGAAAGGGUGAGGUAAUGAGAGAGGGCUAGAGUAAGAGUGGAAAAGAGGAAAGGGUGAGGUAAUGAGAGAGGGCUAGAGUAAGAGUGGAAAAGAGGAAAGGGUGAGGUAAUGAGAGAGGGCUAGAGUAAGAGUGGAAAAGAGGAAAGGGUGAGGUAAUGAGAGAGGGCUAGAGUAUGAGUGGAAAAGAGGAAAGGGUGAGGUAAUGAGAGAGGGCUAGAGUAAGAGUGGAAAAGAGGAAAGGGUGAGGUAAUGAGAGAGGGCUAGAGUAAGAGUGGAAAAGAGGAAAGGGUGAGGUAAUGAGAGAGGGCUAGAGUAAGAGUGGAAAAGAGGAAAGGGUGAGGUAAUGAGAGAGGGCUAGAGUAAGAGUGGAAAAGAGGAAAGGGUGAGGUAAUGAGAGAGGGCUAGAGUAUGAGUGGAAAAGAGGAAAGGGUGAGGUAAUGAGAGAGGGCUAGAGUAAGAGUGGAAAAGAGGAAAGGGUGAGGUAAUGAGAGAGGGCUAGAGUAUGAGAUGGAAAGAGAAAGGGUGAGGGAAUGAGAGAGGGCUAGAGUAUGAGUGGAAAAGAGGAAAGGGUGAGGUAAUGAGAGAGGGCUAGAGUAUGAAUGGAAAAGUGGAAAGGAUGAGGGAAUGAGAGAGGGCUAGAGUAUGAGUGGAAAAGAGGAAAGGGUGAGGUGAUGAGAGAGGGCUAGAGUAUGAGAUGGAAAGAGAAAGGGUGAGGUAAUGAGAGAGGGCUAGAGUAUGAGAUGGAAAGAGAAAGGGUGAGGUAAUGAGAGAGGGCUAGAGUAUGAGUGGAAAAGAGGAAAGGAUGAGGGAAUGAGAGAGGGCUAGAGUAUGAGUGGAAAAUAGGAAAGGAAAACGGAGGGAGAGAAUGAAAGAGAGACCCCAUCUUCUGCCUAUAAUGUCAGUUCUCGCCUGGCUCAGACAAAAGUGAGAGCAGGGCCGUCAUGUGACAAAGUCACCUUGUGUUCUUACUUAAUGAUACACCCUUCCUCAGCAUCCUGAGCCUGGCCCACAGCUACAUCAUCAGACUGCAUUUGGCCCAGCACUUUCUAAUUGGUUUAAUACAUUGUUGGGACACAAAAGCGAUGAAAAGAGGGACUAACUUGCCUUGCAUCAUAAUUAGUCACUUUCUCAUCAGAGUGCUGCAGGUUGUGUGUGUGUAUGUGUGUGUGUCUUGACCAAUCAGAUUCAUGGCACAGUUCACGUGGGUCGGGCAUGGCACACGUCUAUAGAAAGCAGAGCACUCUCUCCACUUUCCUCUGGUAUUAUUUUACCAAACCGGAAAAGAACUCCCAACAGGAAAGCAAAAACUCUUUAUAGAAAUGUUGUAGCAGCCUAGACCUAAACAUUAGCGCUCUGAAAUGCUGAAUCAUUCUGAUCAACUGUAGACCUAGCCUCUAUGCGCCCUGUCCCAUCUGGCUAGGAGAAACAAAGUGGUAAGGUUAUGUAUUUAGUAUUUAUUGAGAUCCCCAUUAAGCCGCUG
Molecule: long non-coding RNA, 1685 nt
Organism: Oncorhynchus keta (chum salmon)
Lineage: Eukaryota; Metazoa; Chordata; Actinopteri; Salmoniformes; Salmonidae
Exons: 4
Source: RefSeq, a predicted model, not a curated record